This 328-nucleotide ribosomal RNA is filed under the name uncultured eukaryote. RNAcentral's name for it is "partial 18S ribosomal RNA". It matches the Rfam family "Eukaryotic small subunit ribosomal RNA", at positions 1470 to 1796 of the family's 1831-position model. The record is from RNAcentral.
CCCUUAGAUGUCCUGGGCCGCACGCGCGCUACACUGAUGCAUGCAACGAGUUUAUAACCUUGGCCUGAAAGGUCUGGGUAAUCUUUUGAACGUGCAUCGUGAUAGGGAUAGAUUAUUGCAAUUGUUAAUCUUGAACGAGGAAUUCCUAGUAAACGCGAGUCAUCAGCUCGCAUUGAUUACGUCCCUGCCCUUUGUACACACCGCCCGUCGCACCUACCGAUUGAAUGGUUCGGUGAAGAUCUCGGACUUCGAUAUUUAUUCUUUGUUGAGUUUAUAUUGUGGGAAGUUAUCUAAACCUCAUCAUUUAGAGGAAGGUGAAGUCGUAACA